This 253-nucleotide ribosomal RNA is filed under the name uncultured bacterium. RNAcentral describes it as "partial 16S ribosomal RNA". It matches the Rfam family "Bacterial small subunit ribosomal RNA", at positions 524 to 776 of the family's 1533-position model. The record is from RNAcentral.
UACGAAGGGGGCUAGCGUUGCUCGGAAUCACUGGGCGUAAAGCGCACGUAGGCGGACUCUUAAGUCGGUGGUGAAAUCCUGGAGCUCAACUCCAGAACUGCCUUCGAUACUGAGAGUCUCGAGUCCGGGAGAGGUGAGUGGAACUGCGAGUGUAGAGGUGAAAUUCGUAGAUAUUCGCAAGAACACCAGUGGCGAAGGCGGCUCACUGGCCCGGUACUGACGCUGAGGUGCGAAAGCGUGGGGAGUAAACAGG